GCCAUUGUAUUUUUCAGGAGCUCUUGAUGGGCAAGGUCAUUGAUCGAGGCCAUGAACGUGGUGAUUUACGUGUCCUUGACAAUGAACAUGCGCAUGCAAACUUCUCAGCAUCUACAUGGUUUGAUUUAUGCUAUAAGCAUCUUAGACACUCCUCUAAUGAGCAGCUAUAUAAAUGGCGUACCACUUUCCUUUUCUUCCAAUAAUGACAAUGUUAUUUGUGAUGUUUGUCCAA
Molecule: long non-coding RNA, 232 nt
Filed under: Elaeis guineensis (African oil palm)
Lineage: Eukaryota; Viridiplantae; Streptophyta; Magnoliopsida; Arecales; Arecaceae
Description: long non-coding RNA (EGUI_LNC027667)
Source: RNAcentral